RNAcentral lists this transfer RNA (58 nucleotides) under Paraleius leontonychus. Its description in RNAcentral is "tRNA-Met(cat)". The record is from RNAcentral. Lineage: Eukaryota; Metazoa; Arthropoda; Arachnida; Sarcoptiformes; Scheloribatidae.
AGCAACUAAAGCUUAAAUAAAGCUUAGGUAUUCAUAAUUCCUAGAACAACCGUUGCUC